Molecule: ribosomal RNA, 340 nt
Filed under: uncultured Sphingobium sp.
Lineage: Bacteria; Pseudomonadati; Pseudomonadota; Alphaproteobacteria; Sphingomonadales; Sphingobiaceae
Description: bacterial SSU rRNA
Rfam family: Bacterial small subunit ribosomal RNA
Source: RNAcentral
GUGCCAGCCGCUGCGGUAAUACGGAGGGAGCUAGCGUUGUUCGGAAUUACUGGGCGUAAAGCGCGCGUAGGCGGCUAUUUAAGUCAGAGGUGAAAGCCUGGAGCUCAACUCCAGAACUGCCUUUGAGACUGGAUAGCUAGAAUCCUGGAGAGGUGAGUGGAAUUCCGAGUGUAGAGGUGAAAUUCGUAGAUAUUCGGAAGAACACCAGUGGCGAAGGCGGCUCACUGGACAGGUAUUGACGCUGAGGUGCGAAAGCGUGGGGAGCAAACAGGAUUAGAUAACCCUGGUAGUCCACGCCGUAAACGAUGAUAACUAGCUGUCCGGUUCAUGGAACUUGGGU